RNAcentral lists this ribosomal RNA (253 nucleotides) under uncultured bacterium. Its description in RNAcentral is "partial 16S ribosomal RNA". It matches the Rfam family "Bacterial small subunit ribosomal RNA", at positions 524 to 776 of the family's 1533-position model. The record is from RNAcentral.
UACGUAGGGUGCAAGCGUUGUCCGGAAUUAUUGGGCGUAAAGAGCUCGUAGGCGGUCUGUCGCGUCGGCUGUGAAAACCUGGGGCUCAACCCCGGGCCUGCAGCCGAUACGGGCAAGCUAGAAUUCGGUAGGGGAGACUGGAAUUCCUGGUGUAGCGGUGAAAUGCGCAGAUAUCAGGAGGAACACCGGUGGCGAAGGCGGGUCUCUGGGCCGAAAUUGACGCUGAGGAGCGAAAGCGUGGGGAGCAAACAGG